AGACCCGAAACCCGGUGAUCUAGCCAUGGGCAGGUUGAAGGUUGGGUAACACUAACUGGAGGACCGAACCGACUAAUGUUGAAAAAUUAGCGGAUGACCUGUGGCUGGGGGUGAAAGGCCAAUCAAACCGGGAGAUAGCUGGUUCUCCCCGAAAGCUAUUUAGGUAGCGCCUCGUGAAUUCAUCUCCGGGGGUAGAGCACUGUUUCGGCUAGGGGGCCAUCCCGGCUUACCAACCCGAUGCAAACUGCGAAUACCGGAGAAUGUUAUCACGGGAGACACACGGCGGGUGCUAACGUCCGUCGUGAAGAGGGAAACAACCCAGACCGCCAGCUAAGGUCCCAAAGUCAUGGUUAAGUGGGAAACGAUGUGGGAAGGCCCAGACAGCCAGGAUGUUGGCUUAGAAGCAGCCAUCAUUUAAAGAAAGCGUAAUAGCUCACUGGUCGAGUCGGCCUGCGCGGAAGAUGUAACGGGGCUAAACCAUGCACCGAAGCUGCGGCAGCGACGCUGAUGCGUUGUUGGGUAGGGGAGCGUUCUGUAAGCCUGUGAAGGUGGCCUGUGAGGGUUGCUGGAGGUAUCAGAAGUGCGAAUGCUGACAUAAGUAACGAUAAAGCGGGUGAAAAGCCCGCUCGCCGGAAGACCAAGGGUUCCUGUCCAACGUUAAUCGGGGCAGGGUGAGUCGACCCCUAAGGCGAGGCCGAAAGGCGUAGUCGAUGGGAAACGGGUUAAUAUUCCCGUACUUGGUGUUACUGCGAAGGGGGGACGGAGAAGGCUAUGUUGGCCGGGCGACGGUUGUCCCGGUU
This 800-nucleotide ribosomal RNA is filed under the name Salmonella enterica. Its description in RNAcentral is "partial 23S ribosomal RNA". It matches the Rfam family "Bacterial large subunit ribosomal RNA", at positions 711 to 1512 of the family's 2925-position model. The record is from RNAcentral. Lineage: Bacteria; Pseudomonadati; Pseudomonadota; Gammaproteobacteria; Enterobacterales; Enterobacteriaceae.